Molecule: ribosomal RNA, 253 nt
Filed under: uncultured bacterium
Lineage: Bacteria
Description: partial 16S ribosomal RNA
Rfam family: Bacterial small subunit ribosomal RNA
Source: RNAcentral
CACGUAGGGCGCAAGCGUUGUCCGGAAUUAUUGGGCGUAAAGAGCUCGUAGGCGGUCUGUUACGUCCGCUGUGAAAACUCGGGGCUUAACCCCGAGCCUGCAGUGGAUACGGGCAGACUAGAGGUAGGUAGGGGAGAAUGGAAUUCCCGGUGUAGCGGUGAAAUGCGCAGAUAUCGGGAGGAACACCGGUGGCGAAGGCGGUGUGCUGGGUUGCAACUGACGCUGAGAUGCGAAAGUGUGGGGAGCAAACGGG